This 271-nucleotide long non-coding RNA is filed under the name Hordeum vulgare. RNAcentral describes it as "long non-coding RNA (HVUL_LNC014216)". The record is from RNAcentral. Lineage: Eukaryota; Viridiplantae; Streptophyta; Magnoliopsida; Poales; Poaceae.
AGGAAGGCUAGCCCCGAUGCCCUCCAGGGAGGUUUGGCGGCACCCGCAGGCGCCACUGCGACGGUGUCGACCAGGCCGACAAGGAUUUCUCCUGAUCCCAACCUCCACCUCAGGCGCAUUGGAACCCGCCACCAAACCGACCACCACCCCGCGCCAACACGAACUUGAAGCUUCCCACGCCGUCUCACCACAACAACGCGAGGAGGGGCCUGCACGACAAAGAAGAGGAGCCGGGACUAGGGGGCAACACCACCGUCGGCACGCGGGAGGU